ACAACAAUAGCAAGAAUAUUUUUAAAAGCUACUGCGGUCCCAACACCAAUUACCUUUUUUUUUUAAACACAGAUUCACAAACAUGGUUUAGGUGUGUAGGGCACACAGAUCAGUCUGGAUGAUGCCAGGCAUCACGCGCCAAUACUGAAGAUUAUCACUACCACCAAACAAGAUGUUUGGUGGAGACACACAGAGUCAAACACUUCCAAAAUCCAAGCUUUUACAGUUGCAAUGCUGCUUUUUAGCUGUAUCCAGGGCUCUUCUCUGGUGGCAUUUUAAAAAAGUUACUGGAGGCAGCAAUAGUGGCUUUCUCGGCUGCUGGUGUUUUCCCUGUCGAUUCAGAGUUCUGGGAUCUCAGGGACGGUGUUGCUGGUAGCUCUGACUCUGCUGCAUCCAUGUGGACAGAUAAAGUUACCUGAUGUUGGGCUGGACAUGGAGGUUGCAGCUGGCUUUCGUUUCCUCUUGAUGUCCCUUGAACAUGGUGGUCCCAGGUGUACAUUUGCUUGCCUAUAGAGAAAUGAAAACAAGUAAAACUUUGUUCUAGUAUCACUUUCCUGUAAGACACUGGCCAAUCACCCUCCAACCUAUUCAGUAGGGUACCCAUAUUGCAACUGUCCAUGCAUAUUGUUUCCACUACAGUAGUAAGUUCAUAAAGUUAGGAACGCAAAACAGUCUGAUGCAUUUUCAAAAUUAUUAUUUCCUUAUCAAAGUGCUGUGACAACAGCUGAACUGGCUGAUGGCAAUACAGCCUUUCUGCACCUGUAAACAGGCUGAGAGGCACGACCAGUCACAGUAACUGCUAAGUCCGAAGCCUACUGAUGACCACUUCAGUUUGACCAUUUGCCAACUAAGAAGAAACCUGCAUUGUUGGGACUGACUUGAACUGAGCACUUCUCCAAGUUCUAGACGGAGGAAGAAGAGAAGUUUUAUUCAGAAAAGACAGUCUUGGGAUCAAACCACAGAACUUUCUCAAAUACAAUCCAUAAUGAAUAAAAAUGCAUAAUUUAGCAAUGAUACUGUGUUCAAAUCCCUGCUUUGUCCGAGAUAUCUGAGUUUCUUUCGCAAGUUCCUUGGUCACUCUCUGCAUCAAAUCUGACGUGCAAAAUGCAGAACUAAAAUGCAAAUAAGGUUGUGAAGUGCUUACAUGGUGCAAAGAUUGGAUCCACAUGAAUUUUGACGAUUAAGCGCUGAAAAGCUUCUGUGUCUUUAAAGCCUGUUAUUUGAUUAACAAAAAAAAUCCUGAAAGUUUAACAAACACAUUUAUCAAGUACUGAAAUCUGCAAAUAACAAAAGGCAAAGUUUACGGCUUUGUAUUUCCAUGCCAAAAUCUACAAAACCUUUAAAAAAAAAAAAGAAAAAAAGAAAAAGGCA
This 1371-nucleotide long non-coding RNA is filed under the name Strigops habroptila (Kakapo). RNAcentral describes it as "lncRNA (ENSSHBG00005004471.1)". The record is from RNAcentral. Lineage: Eukaryota; Metazoa; Chordata; Aves; Psittaciformes; Psittacidae.